CCUACGGGAGACAGCAGUAGGGAAUAUUGCUCAAUGGGGGAAACCCUGAAGCAGCAACGCCGCGUGGAGGAUGAAGGUUUUCGGAUUGUAAACUCCUUUCGCUAGAGAAGAUAAUUACGGUAUCCUCCUAAUAAGCACCGGCUAACUCCGUGCCAGCCGCCGCGGUAAUUAGGAGGGUGCAGGCGUUACUCGGAAUCACGGGGCGGAAAGCGCGCGUAGGGGGGAUAGCAAGUCAGAUGUGAAAGCCUAUGGCUUAACCAUAGAACUGCAUUUGAAACUGUUAUUCUGGAGUAUGGGAGAGGUAGGUGGAAUUCUUGGUGUAGGGGUAAAAUCCGUAGAGAUCAAGAGGAAUAC
Molecule: ribosomal RNA, 354 nt
Filed under: uncultured bacterium
Lineage: Bacteria
Description: partial 16S ribosomal RNA
Rfam family: Bacterial small subunit ribosomal RNA
Source: RNAcentral